GGCGGUGUAGCUCAGUUGGUCAGAGCACACGGUUCAUACCCGUGGUGUCACUGGUUCGAAUCCAGUCACAGCUACCA
RNAcentral lists this transfer RNA (77 nucleotides) under Bacillota bacterium. RNAcentral describes it as "tRNA-Met". It matches the Rfam family "tRNA". Rfam says of the family: Transfer RNA (tRNA) molecules are approximately 80 nucleotides in length. Their secondary structure includes four short double-helical elements and three loops (D, anti-codon, and T loops). The record is from RNAcentral. Lineage: Bacteria; Bacillati; Bacillota.